UGCAAGUCGAACGAUGAUGCCCAGCUUGCUGGGCGGAUUAGUGGCGAACGGGUGAGUAAUACGUGAGUAACCUGCCCUUGACUCUGGGAUAAGCCUGGGAAACUGGGUCUAAUACUGGAUACUACCUCUUACCGCAUGGUGGGUGGUGGAAAGGGUUUUACUGGUUUUGGAUGGGCUCACGGCCUAUCAGCUUGUUGGUGGGGUAAUGGCUCACCAAGGCGACGACGGGUAGCCGGCCUGAGAGGGUGACCGGCCACACUGGGACUGAGACACGGCCCAGACUCCUACGGGAGGCAGCAGUGGGGAAUAUUGCACAAUGGGCGGAAGCCUGAUGCAGCGACGCCGCGUGAGGGAUGACGGCCUUCGGGUUGUAAACCUCUUUCAGUAGGGAAGAAGCGAGAGUGACGGUACCUGCAGAAGAAGCGCCGGCUAACUACGUGCCAGCAGCCGCGGUAAUACGUAGGGCGCAAGCGUUGUCCGGAAUUAUUGGGCGUAAAGAGCUCGUAGGCGGUUUGUCGCGUCUGCUGUGAAAGCCCGGGGCUCAACCCCGGGUCUGCAGUGGGUACGGGCAGACUAGAGUGCAGUAGGGGAGACUGGAAUUCCUGGUGUAGCGGUGAAAUGCGCAGAUAUCA
RNAcentral lists this ribosomal RNA (632 nucleotides) under Kocuria sp. RNAcentral's name for it is "bacterial SSU rRNA". It matches the Rfam family "Bacterial small subunit ribosomal RNA", at positions 56 to 699 of the family's 1533-position model. The record is from RNAcentral. Lineage: Bacteria; Bacillati; Actinomycetota; Actinomycetes; Micrococcales; Micrococcaceae.